Sus scrofa (pig) is the source of this 3797-nucleotide non-coding RNA. NCBI's taxonomy places the organism in Eukaryota, Metazoa, Chordata, Mammalia, Artiodactyla, Suidae. The record is from RefSeq and is a predicted model, not a curated record.
CGCUUUCUGUACUGCGCUGGUCACGCUAUCAGCUGCUGAAUGGAGGAUGCUGUUUCCUGAAGGAGGACAGCAAGAGCAUUAGAAGCUAGUUCUGCUGAACUACAGUGACAGCCCCCUGCAGGGGAAUGGAUUUUACGGGCUUCCCUAUGCACUAAGAGGAGGCAGAUGGACUUAACUUACUAUUGCUCAGUUGCAUCAAGCACUACAGGAGCCAAGGUGUGGUGUUGGUCAUGGAAAGUAAUCACUGUGACAGAAUUGUGAGCAGACUAGCAUGAACAGGGCUUUACAAGUUAUUUCCCAAGGUAACACCUGACUGUUUCUGUCCUCAAGAUAUUCCUCUUGGUAAAUGAAGAGUUAUUGCCUAAGCUGCAUUCAAGUCAGGUGCUCCCAAGAAGGAACAGGCCAAAGGGAAGGAAUGGGAAGAGGGUGAAAGGACUGAAGGUACGGGGCGGGGGUGGGGGGGUGGCGCACAAGAAAAUAUCCUACUCCUCCAGCUCCUUAGACAUACUACCCACAGCUUAGCCACCAGAGGUUAGAGAAAAGAGGGGGUAGGGCAUUUGAAACUCCAUAGCCAGGAGUAUCUGCAUCAAACCAGGGGGAUUUUAGAACUAGCUACCAGUAUAUAGCCAGGAUUGUUUUUUCCCCCCAUCAGAACUGACCCUCAUGAUGCCCUCAAAGUUAGACACAUUUGUGUUUCUAGAAUGAAUCUGCUUUGCAUGAGCCAUACUGCUUUCCUGUCAUGACUUAAAAGUUAAUCUUGUACAAGACGUCAGAUCAGCACGGCAACCAGUUUUAUAUGAUACUGUUUAGCCAACGGUUGUUAUGAAGGAGGUAAAAGAUCUAUACAUUGAAAACUGUAAGACACUGCUGAAAGAAACUGAAAGACAGAAAGACAUAGAAGGAUAUUCCAUACUCAUGGAUUGGAGGAAUUAACAUUGGUAAAAUGGCCAUACUACCGAAGGGAAUUUAUAGGUUAAAUGCAAUCCUUAUCAAAAUCCCAAUGAUGUUUUUCACAGAAAUAGAACAAAAAUUCUAAAAUUCAGGAGUUCCCGUCAUGGCUCAGUGGUCAAGAGGCACAUGAAAAGAUGUUCAGUAUCACAACUUAUUAGGAAAGUUUUACUUUUUAAAAUGAGGAUGCAGUUACUGUCUUGCAUUUAUAUGGACAUACGAUCUUUGUCUGCAUUUCUGAUAUUUCCUAGAGAUUAAACUGCUGGUUCAAAGGACACACACUUUUUGGAGGCUGUUGGUACAUGCUGAAAAUUGCUUCCUUGGAAGUCUCAUUCAGUGUUUCCAGACUGUUCUUUUGAGUGCAUGCUAUGUGCCAGUCACUGUUAUGUGGACAAACUGGCAGAAUGACUUUGAGGAAGGAUGUAUUUUAACUUUUCUGACCGUCAGUUUCCUCAUCUGUAACAUUUGCCUCAAGUGGCUGUUGUGGAAAUGAAGAUGACAAUAUAUACAAAAUGCCUGCAGCUGCUCAGUGGACGUUUGUCCCUGCCCCUCCCUAAGGCCGUGUGUGUUCUGGGGAGUUCUGGGAAAAUUGCACAGACCCACUCAGCUCCUUGGCAUGUCUCCCUUUCUUCUGUCUUGGGGCUAAGUGUCUUGAAGCUCCCGGGAGACACUCAGAUCUUUGCAUACUUGCUGUGUGCAGCUCAAUAUGCUGCUCAGAGAGAGUUGAACACAUCCUCAUUGAACCAAGGCAUGUUUUGUAAAGUAAGAUGCCUAACUCAAAAGUUGGGGUGCAUCAUAUUGUGCUAAGUUAAAUAUGGAAAUAAAACAGUCUCCUGAAGCAGAGAGAACAGUAAUUCUCUCUAAAUAGGCAGGAAGCAUAUUAGCACCCAAAUUUAUUCAAGCAGUCUGAGAAGAGGCUGUCAACCACUGCAAAUAAAGUCAGCUACCUUUUGAAUUAGAAUAGGUUUGAGAAUAGAUCUUUGAGAAUAGAUCAGAGACAAGUCUUACUUCAUUGAUGUUGAAUUUGCAUCAGUUCCACUUAGUAUGUGCUUUUAAAAAAUACUGUGCUAGCAUCUUUUAUGUUAAGAGAUUGAGAAGACCUUCCUGAGAGCAAUUUGAGAUAGAGCUAUACAUUGUUUUCAAUCAUUGUUUGGAAAAACAAAGGAAAUUUAAAUGUAUAGGAAAAAUGAGAGAGAAAAAUAAGGUUAUAUUAAAAAGUAAGGAGAGAAGAGAAAGAAGAGGAGGAAAGAUUUUUUAAAAGCACACAAACCAUACCAAUAACUAUAAAGCUAAUUUCCUUAUAUUAUCCUAAACUUCAGGUUAUAUCUGAUAAUAAAAAUUCUUAAUGCUGUAACUAGUAAAGAGGCAAUUUAAAUAGAUUUUUCAUCAGCUAUUUCCUACAUCAAAUACAUAUAUAGAUAUUUGAAAUGCGAAAUACUCAUCCAGUUUAGGAUUUUAGGAAAAUCAUCUAAAAAAUAAAUGGUCGAAUAAACUUACAUCAGUCUAUACUCAGAAUUGAAUAAACCUGGUCAUCUCCGGAUACUGUUUUAAAACUGAAAUCUGGUGAUAGUUUUGUGUGGAUUACUUGUAUCGUAUAAUCAAUGUAACCAUUUAGGAAUAACUGUACAAUAAAGCCCCAUUUAUCCAAACUAACUUAAAGGAAAACCAAUUACGGUGAAAAAAAUAAAACAGAUUUGAGUUUUAAUACAAAAAACUCAACAAAAUUGGCAGGGAGAUCACUCAUAUGAAACCUGUUAAUAGGCCAGGACCAUUAGUAACUCUCAUAUCAUAUACCCAAAGUGUCCAAUAAUUUAUUCCUUGAGUAGAUUAAAUUCCUGUUCUCAUCUUGUCUAUAGUAUUCAUUUUUUUCUUUUUUUCUUUAGCAAAACUAUUUUCAUGAGUAGACGUAAGGGUCACUUGAAUCUGGUCCAGUGUUAGUAACAUUCAGAUUAAUUUUACUGGAAAAAAUCUAUGGGAUUCACCCAAGAUGUUUUUUCUUUCCUUUUUCUAAACUUCCAAUCUUUACCACUCAGCAUCUCUACCACUAGAAGCCAUAUUAGCAAAAGAAAAGUCACAUGGAAACUUGGUUCUGUGACCAGAGGGUCCCUUUUCUGUCCUAAAGGGGCUCUGAACCACUUACAUGCAUUUUGCUUCCUGAGAUGAGCACACACUUCCACCCCCACUGGUGGUAAUUCAGUUACAUGGUAAUGCUUCUGAGGAGGUUCUGCUUAGGACUGUGACUUGCAUUAAGCAUUUUAUAAAUGUGUGGUCAUUUAAAAAUGAUGAUAUCACCUUUACAAACAGUGAUUAAAUGCAAAGGCCUACCUGGUGAAACAAGUCGGUUCUUAAUCACAGACUCCAUUAAUUAUCCGAGAGCUUAAGUAAAUUACCAAGUUCUUUCCCAUUACAUUGACUAAUCAAUAUCAAUCACACAGUUGCAUCUCAAUGUUGGACAGCCUCUAGGAUCCCCCUUUAAGAUGGGAGAUUCUUCCAAAAGGUUAAAUUUCAUUGGUCCUUUUGUGGUAGUGACUAAUCAGAUAAAUUCUGUUACAAAUUUAGGUCGUGUUACAUCAAGCCUUUGCAAAAGGAGGAGUUGUUAGCCCAUGCUGGCCACAGAUGCAGUGUGAACCUCAGCCAGACACUCACAGAAACAUCUACAGUUCACUGAAUGGUGACUAUGUGCAGGUGCUAUGGUAAAUUGUCAACUGUCAAAUUCUUCAAAGGAAUGUAUUUUUAUCCUAUUUUACAAUUAAGGAAAGGAAUGUGCUCAGGGAAUAGAGAGAGCUUGCCUAAGGUCACCCAGAUCUUGACCCUGAAGCUUUUUUUUUUUUUUGCUUUUUAGAGCCUCA